Molecule: long non-coding RNA, 1387 nt
Organism: Cygnus olor (mute swan)
Lineage: Eukaryota; Metazoa; Chordata; Aves; Anseriformes; Anatidae
Exons: 3
Source: RefSeq, a predicted model, not a curated record
GACCACCCUCUCGGUGAAGAGCCUCUUCCUGAUGUCCAGCCUGAACUUCCCCUGCCGCAGCUUGACACCGUUCCUGGGGUCCUGUCGCUGGUCACCAGAGAGAACAGAUCGGCACCUGCACCCCCACUCCCUCUCGUGAGCUUACUUCUUGAAAGAACUAACUCCAUCACACCCAAGCAAGGUUAUCUUGUGGCACGAGGUCCUAGAGAAGACUUAAUGGAAGGAAGAAGCAGGAUGGAGAAUUGUGACAGCAGCAGAUGUCCCCAUCCCGGCGAGUGGUGAGCUACUGCUUUUGUCUGCAGAAGGAUGCAGCUCGUAUUUACCCGCUUGUAUGGCCAGUGGUUCUUGUGCUGUCUGUCCUGACCCUUUGGCUGGCAUGGGGCAUCGUGGUCACAUAGUGAGAGGCACAACCGAACACCGUCCCAUUUUCUGUUAUUUUUUUCUGCUGGACCAACUCUGCAGAGCAGGUUGCUGCUGCCUGGUUGUGCAAGGCCUGCAGCCAGCGCAAGGAGAAACACUGGUGGCUGUGGUCAGGAGAGGAAACGAGGCUGGGACCACAGCGGCUGUGAUUUAUGUACACUUACCUCGCUGCGGAACAAAACCACUAAUGAUUUUAGCCCUCUUGUCAGCCCAGCGCCAUGCCACCUGCGUAUUGGGACAGCCUGGUCUGGAGCAAGGCUUGCACACCAGCAUGGCAGCCUGCGGGACGAGCUGCCUGCCCGCAUCUGCUGGCAGCCUUCUCGGUGAGGGCGAGCAGCUUUGGUGGGCAGGCUGCUGCUCCCGCGGACGUGGGCUCCAUCACCCGGGUUCCCAGGGCGCCUGGCCUCCAUCCCGGCUGGAUUCUUCCCUUGUCCAGGCCCGUCGUUCUCUCCAGGUGGAGGAACUGGACAAUGAGUACAGGUAGGAAGGACGCUACCUCUGAUGCAUACAUAAGAUAGGAGUGGAUCGGAUGCCAGCCCAUUCAAGGUAAAAAUGCUACGAAUCCCUUUUUGAUACCCAUGUUUUCCAUACAUUUCAACAAUUAAGUAGCUUGUAUAGGACUGAUGCGAAGAUCACUGAAGUUGCACAGCUCUUUGGUAAGUCCUUGUGGUUUAAUUUGGUAUCGUGGUUGACAACAGAAGCUUUUUGCCAAUAUUUUAAGAUCAAGAGUGUCUUAUAAAAGUCUGCUUAUUGUAUGAGUUUCUAGAGUGCAUUACGUAACUAAGCCUAGAGCACGUUUGGUAAAUAUUUAGAAGAGAACCGUCUUGCUUUUCAUCCUUGUACUCAAACUCAUUUACAUGGGUUUCCUCCUCCAGCCCCAUUUCCACUCACCUUUCAGGGGUAGCAGAAGCUGCACAUUACAUUUAUGCCCUAUAAUUGGAUUGUGGGAUGCUGCAACAUCAUCUUC